Molecule: ribosomal RNA, 400 nt
Filed under: uncultured bacterium
Lineage: Bacteria
Description: bacterial SSU rRNA
Rfam family: Bacterial small subunit ribosomal RNA
Source: RNAcentral
UGGGGAAUAUUGGACAAUGGGCGAAAGCCUGAUCCAGCCAUGCCGCGUGAGGGAUGAAGGCCUUCGGGUUGUAAACCUCUUUUGUCAGGGAAAAUAAUGAUGGUACCUGAAGAAUAAGGACCGGCUAACUUCGUGCCAGCAGCCGCGGUAAUACGAAGGGUCCUAGCGUUGUUCGGAAUUACUGGGCGUAAAGGGUUCGUAGGCGGUUAUUUAAGUUAGGCGUGAAAGCCCAGGGCUCAACCUUGGAACUGCGCUUAAGACUGGGUAACUCGAGUUUGGGAGAGGUAAGUGGAAUUCCUAGUGUAGAGGUGAAAUUCGUAGAUAUUAGGAGGAACAUCAGUGGCGAAGGCGACUUACUGGACCAAUACUGACGCUGAGGAACGAAAGUGUGGGGAGCAAA